This 524-nucleotide ribosomal RNA is filed under the name uncultured Clostridium sp. Its description in RNAcentral is "bacterial SSU rRNA". It matches the Rfam family "Bacterial small subunit ribosomal RNA", at positions 992 to 1519 of the family's 1533-position model. Lineage: Bacteria; Bacillati; Bacillota; Clostridia; Eubacteriales; Clostridiaceae. The record is from RNAcentral.
UGAAUUACUCGUAACGGAGGAAGCCCUUCGGGGCAGGAAGACAGGUGGUGCAUGGUUGUCGUCAGCUCGUGUCGUGAGAUGUUGGGUUAAGUCCCGCAACGAGCGCAACCCUUAUUGUUAGUUGCUACCAUUAAGUUGAGCACUCUAGCAAGACUGCCGCGGUUAACGCGGAGGAAGGUGGGGAUGACGUCAAAUCAUCAUGCCCCUUAUGUCUAGGGCUACACACGUGCUACAAUGGGGAGUACAAAAAGACGCAAGGCCGUGAGGCGGAGCAAAACUUAUAAAACUUCCCCCAGUUCGGAUUGUAGGCUGAAACUCGCCUACAUGAAGCUGGAGUUGCUAGUAAUCGCGAAUCAGAAUGUCGCGGUGAAUACGUUCCCGGGCCUUGUACACACCGCCCGUCACACCAUGAGAGUUGCCAACACCCGAAGUCCAUAGUCUAACCGUAAGGGGGACGUGGCCGAAGGUGGGGGUAGCGAUUGGGGUGAAGUCGUAACAAGGUAGCCGUAGGAGAACCUGCGGCU